This 425-nucleotide ribosomal RNA is filed under the name uncultured bacterium. Its description in RNAcentral is "bacterial SSU rRNA". It matches the Rfam family "Bacterial small subunit ribosomal RNA", at positions 356 to 772 of the family's 1533-position model. The record is from RNAcentral.
GGGGAAUUGUUCGCAAUGGGCGCAAGCCUGACGACGCAACGCCGCGUGGAGGACGAAGAUCUUCGGGUCGUAAACUCCUUUCGAUCGGGACGAAUGGCCGGUGACCUAACACGUCAUCGGAAUGACGGUACCGCGAGAAGAAGCCCCGGCUAACUCCGUGCCAGCAGCCGCGGUAAUACGGGGGGGGCAAGCGUUGUUCGGAAUUACUGGGCGUAAAGGGCGCGUAGGCGGCCUGCUAAGUCACACGUGAAAUCCCCCGGCUCAACCGGGGAACUGCGUGUGAUACUGGCGGGCUUGAAUUCGGGUGAGGGAUGUGGAAUUCCAGGUGUAGCGGUGAAAUGCGUAGAUAUCUGGAGGAACACCGGUGGCGAAGGCGGCAUCCUGGACCGAGAUUGACGCUGAGGCGCGAAAGCUAGGGUAGCAAA